GAUGAACGCUGGCGGCGUGCCUAAUACAUGCAAGUCGAGCGAACGGACGAGAAGCUUGCUUUUCUGAUGUGAGCGGCGGACGGGUGAGUAACACGUGGAUAACCUACCUAUAAGACUGGGAUAACUUCGGGAAACCGGAGCUAAUACCGGAUAAUAUUAUGAACCGCAUGGGUCAAAAGUGAAAGACGGUCUUGCUGUCACUUAAAGAUGGAUCCGCGCUGCAUUAGCUAGUUGGUAAGGUAACGGCUUACCAAGGCAACGAUGCAUAGCCGACCUGAGAGGGUGAUCGGACACACUGGGACUGAGAGACGGGCCAGACUCCUACGGGGGGCAGCCGUAGGGACUCUUGCGCGAUGGGCGAAAGCCUGACGGAGCAACGCCGCGUAGGUGAUGAAGGUCUUCGGAUCGUAAAACUCUGUUAUUAGGGAAGGAGAUAUGUGUAAGUAACUGAGCACAUAUUGACGGUACCUAAUCAGAAAGCCACGGCUAACUCCGUG
RNAcentral lists this ribosomal RNA (497 nucleotides) under uncultured bacterium. Its description in RNAcentral is "partial 16S ribosomal RNA". It matches the Rfam family "Bacterial small subunit ribosomal RNA", at positions 28 to 507 of the family's 1533-position model. The record is from RNAcentral.